UACGUAGGGAGCAAGCGUUGUCCGGAAUCAUUGGGCGUAAAGCGCGCGUAGGUGGCUUCGUAAGUCCGUUGUGAAAGUCAAAGGCUCAACCUUUGAAAGCCGAUGGAUACUGCGGAGCUAGAGUACGGAAGAGGCGAGUGGAAUUCCUGGUGUAGCGGUGGAAUGCGCAGAUAUCAGGAGGAACACCAAUCGCGAAGGCAGCUCGCUGGGACGUUACUGACACUGAGGCGCGAAAGCGUGGGGAGCGAACAGG
Molecule: ribosomal RNA, 253 nt
Filed under: uncultured bacterium
Lineage: Bacteria
Description: partial 16S ribosomal RNA
Rfam family: Bacterial small subunit ribosomal RNA
Source: RNAcentral